AUCCAGCUGACGAGUACCAAAUAGAACGAAACGGGUGUCCUGGAU
RNAcentral lists this non-coding RNA (45 nucleotides) under Schistosoma mansoni. The record is from RNAcentral. Lineage: Eukaryota; Metazoa; Platyhelminthes; Trematoda; Strigeidida; Schistosomatidae.